This is a non-coding RNA of Pocillopora verrucosa, 370 nucleotides long. The record is from RefSeq and is a predicted model, not a curated record. Lineage: Eukaryota; Metazoa; Cnidaria; Anthozoa; Scleractinia; Pocilloporidae.
GGACCUGUCCUAUAAUGAGUUGCAGUUUUUGCCUCGAGGGAUAGUUAACAAUACCGUUAACCUGACAGAACUUUUCCUGAACAACAACAACAUAAAGAACUUUUCCUCUGAUCAACUACCUAAAACUUAUUGGUGGGAAUAUAAAUUUAAAAACCUAACCCUAGACUUCAACAAACUGGAGACACUUCCUUCUGACACAUUCAAACGCUUCAAGUUAAAUGAUCUGUGGCUUGGAAACAACAACUUAAAAAACUUAUCUGAAGAUCUAUUCACUGGGCAAGAUGAGUUAAAAUAUUUGCGGUUGAGUGGCAAUCGGCUGGAGAAGCUGCCUCCAAAAAUUCUUCAAGGAUUGUUCGCCUUGGAGGAACUG